Molecule: ribosomal RNA, 472 nt
Filed under: uncultured bacterium
Lineage: Bacteria
Description: bacterial SSU rRNA
Rfam family: Bacterial small subunit ribosomal RNA
Source: RNAcentral
ACUCCUACGGGAGGCAGCAGUGGGGAAUAUUGCACAAUGGGCGCAAGCCUGAUGCAGCCAUGCCGCGUGUAUGAAGAAGGCCUUCGGGUUGUAAAGUACUUUCAGCAGUGAGGAAGGUGGAUAUGUUAAUAGCAUAUUCAUUUGACGUUAGCUGCAGAAGAAGCACCGGCUAACUCCGUGCCAGCAGCCGCGGUAAUACGGAGGGUGCGAGCGUUAAUCGGAAUUACUGGGCGUAAAGCGCAUGCAGGUGGUUUGUUAAGUCAGAUGUGAAAGCCCGGGGCUCAACCUCGGAAUUGCAUUUGAAACUGGCAAACUAGAGUACUGUAGAGGGGGGUAGAAUUUCAGGUGUAGCGGUGAAAUGCGUAGAGAUCUGAAGGAAUACCGGUGGCGAAGGCGGCCCCCUGGACAGAUACUGACACUCAGAUGCGAAAGCGUGGGGAGCAAACAGGAUUAGAACCCUGGUAGGCUCUGC